UCCAUUCCAAGUGACAACCUAGUUAUGCUUUUCCCCAAGCUCUGACAUUCAGUGUUUGGAACUGCUGGGUAGAUUGCAAAUCACCUUGUCUCGGCCUGAACUGCUGUGCACUUUGAAAGAAUGGAUUCUGGCUACUUGUGUGACUUCAAAGUCAAGCGUUGGGGAAGAGGAUUCCUUCUGAUUGCCAGUAACAAAGCAGGAAAGCAGAAGAAAACUGAAGAUGGCUCCACUAAACGCAGAGAAAAUGAACACACCGGAAUGAAGAGCCAGCAAAUAUACUGACUUGAAAUUAUCCACCAGUGCCCCAUUCAUUUCUGUCUUGCAAGGAGACUGCAACACAAUGGUCUCUGGCAGGUUUAGAACUCUGUACCAUGAAGGAAUACACAUCAUUUUGCUCCAGUUGUGGUUGGCAGCUUCAAAAAGGCCACUGGGUCCAUGUCCAUUCUUUUCUAAUCACUUUUGGAAAUUGUUUGUUUUAGCUAUUAGGAACAACAAGAUUUUUCGUAUUGGAUGAGUAUCUUUCA
Molecule: long non-coding RNA, 524 nt
Organism: Thamnophis elegans (Western terrestrial garter snake)
Lineage: Eukaryota; Metazoa; Chordata; Lepidosauria; Squamata; Natricidae
Exons: 2
Source: RefSeq, a predicted model, not a curated record